Molecule: ribosomal RNA, 403 nt
Filed under: uncultured prokaryote
Description: bacterial SSU rRNA
Rfam family: Bacterial small subunit ribosomal RNA
Source: RNAcentral
UAGGGAAUAUUAGUAAUGGGCGAAAGCCUGAACUAGCAACACCGCGUGUGCGAAGAAGUCUUUCGGGAUGUAAACCCUUGUUGUACGGGACGAAGGAAGUGACGGUACCGUACGAGGAAGCCCCGGCAAACUACGUGCCAGCAGCCACGGUAAUACGUAGGGGGCAAGCGUUAUCCGGAUUUAUUGGGCGUAAAGCGUGCGUAGGCGGUUUAUUAGGUCAGGCGUAAAAGAUCACAGCUCAACUGUGUAGGGCGUUUGAAACCGGUAGACUUGAAUACGGUAGAGGCAGGUGGAAUUCCAUGUGUAGCGGUGGAAUGCGUAGAUAUAUGGAGGAACACCAAUGGCGAAGGCAGCCUGCUGGGCCGGAAUUGACGCUGAGGCACGAAAGCGUGGGGAGCAAACA